GAGUUUGAUCCUGGCUCAGAUUGAACGCUGGCGGCAGGCCUAACACAUGCAAGUCGAGCGGCAGCGGGAAGAUAGUUUACUAUCUUUGCCGGCGAGCGGCGGACGGGUGAGUAAUGCCUAGGGAUCUGCCCAGUCGAGGGGGAUAACAGUUGGAAACGACUGCUAAUACCGCAUACGCCCUACGGGGGAAAGGAGGGGACCUUCGGGCCUUCCGCGAUUGGAUGAACCUAGGUGGGAUUAGCUAGUUGGUGAGGUAAUGGCUCACCAAGGCGACGAUCCCUAGCUGUUCUGAGAGGAUGAUCAGCCACACUGGGACUGAGACACGGCCCAGACUCCUACGGGAGGCAGCAGUGGGGAAUAUUGCACAAUGGGGGAAACCCUGAUGCAGCCAUGCCGCGUGUGUGAAGAAGGCCUUCGGGUUGUAAAGCACCUUCAGUAGGGAGGAAAGGUAGCAGCUUAAUACGCUGUUGCUGUGACGUUACCUACAGAAGAAGGACCGGCUAACUCCGUGCCAGCAGCCGCGGUAAUACGGAGGGUCCGAGCGUUAAUCGGAAUUACUGGGCGUAAAGCGUGCGCAGGCGGUUUGUUAAGCGAGAUGUGAAAGCCCCGGGCUCAACCUGGGAAUUGCAUUUCGAACUGGCGAACUAGAGUCUUGUAGAGGGGGGUAGAAUUCCAGGUGUAGCGGUGAAAUGCGUAGAGAUCUGGAGGAAUACCGGUGGCGAAGGCGGCCCCCUGGACAAAGACUGACGCUCAG
This 754-nucleotide ribosomal RNA is filed under the name uncultured bacterium. Its description in RNAcentral is "bacterial SSU rRNA". It matches the Rfam family "Bacterial small subunit ribosomal RNA", at positions 9 to 750 of the family's 1533-position model. The record is from RNAcentral.